UAAUAGUAGUUGAAAAUGAUUAUCAAUACCACAUAGAACAUCCCCCCCACGACGUUUCGUUCUUGUUGGAUUGGUCAUUUUCAAAUAUUCCCCUUUUAUAUGCCCGUAAAAGACAAUAUACGUUAUAACAACGUUUUAUAAAAGCAGUAAACCCUUACGACACUUUAGGUUUACUGCUUUU
RNAcentral lists this non-coding RNA (181 nucleotides) under Staphylococcus aureus. It matches the Rfam family "S. aureus tsr25 small RNA". Lineage: Bacteria; Bacillati; Bacillota; Bacilli; Caryophanales; Staphylococcaceae. The record is from RNAcentral.